This 546-nucleotide long non-coding RNA is filed under the name Homo sapiens (human). Its description in RNAcentral is "HSALNT0336063". Lineage: Eukaryota; Metazoa; Chordata; Mammalia; Primates; Hominidae. The record is from RNAcentral.
CCAGACUGCCUGGCAGCUCUUUAGAAAGUUGUGUGACGUAUGAACCAGUUCUUCCCUAUAUGAGAGUGUACCGUACAUCGCAGGCUGUCCAGCAUCGACCCCACUGAUGGAUGCUAGUAGUCCUCCCCGCCAGCACUCAACAUUGUGACAGUCAAAAACAUCCUCUCUACAUUUUCAAUGCCCCUGUUGGGGUAGCAGGACUCCCACUGAGAGACCCCAGUAGAGAUGGUCCCCAAGCAUGCUAACCAUGAAGCAGUGAUAUCGCACAGCACCUGCUUCCAGCAGCCCGGAGCCAAGGGGCAAAAUGGAAAGAGUCAGCAUUUCUCUUUUAGGUUCUCUGCCUCUCUAGUGUGAAGACUGAAGAAACCUAAUCCUAGGUGCUGCCACUGGGACAAACAAGAAGCACCAGACACAGUGCUGUUUUAGGGUGGGGCAGAAUUAUGCUGAGGGAAAAGUUAUUAUCACUCUUUAAGGCCAAGGAAACCACAAUUUUUAAAGAAGCUUCUAGAAAUUCUACCCAGUAGAAAAUAAAGAUAAACUUCUGUA